GACGAACGCUGGCGGCGUGCUUAACACAUGCAAGUCGAACGGAAAGGCCCUGAUUUUGUGGGGUGCUCGAGUGGCGAACGGGUGAGUAACACGUGAGUAACCUGCCCUUGACUUUGGGAUAACUUCAGGAAACUGGGGCUAAUACCGGAUAGGAGCUCCUGCUGCAUGGUGGGGGUUGGAAAGUUUCGGCGGUUGGGGAUGGACUCGCGGCUUAUCAGCUUGUUGGUGGGGUAGUGGAUUACCAAGGCUUUGACGGGUAGACGGCCUGAGAGGGUGACCGGCCACAUGACUACUGAGAUACGCCCCAGAGUCGCACCGGGACCAGCAGUGAGGAAUAUUGCACAAUGGUCGGAAGCCUGAUGCAGCAACCCCCCGUGCGGGAUGACGGCCUUCGGGUUGUAAACCGCUUUCGCCUGUGGCGAAGCGUAAGUAACGGUAAUAGGUAAAGAAGCACCGGCUAACUACGUG
This 468-nucleotide ribosomal RNA is filed under the name uncultured bacterium. RNAcentral's name for it is "partial 16S ribosomal RNA". It matches the Rfam family "Bacterial small subunit ribosomal RNA", at positions 28 to 507 of the family's 1533-position model. The record is from RNAcentral.